This 432-nucleotide ribosomal RNA is filed under the name uncultured bacterium. RNAcentral describes it as "bacterial SSU rRNA". It matches the Rfam family "Bacterial small subunit ribosomal RNA", at positions 27 to 507 of the family's 1533-position model. The record is from RNAcentral.
GAACGAACGCUGGCGGCAGGCCUAACACAUGCAAGUCGAGCGCCCCGCAAGGGGAGCGGCGGACGGGUGAGUAACGCGUGGGAACGUACCCCUUUCUACGGAAUAGCCUCGGGAAACUGGGAGUAAUACCGUAUAAGCCCUACGGGGGAAAGAUUUAUCGGGAAGGGAUCGGCCCGCGUUGGAUUAGGUAGUUGGUGGGGUAAUGGCCUACCAAGCCGACGAUCCAUAGCUGGUUUGAGAGGAUGAUCAGCCACACUGGGACUGAGACACGGCCCAGACUCCUACGGGAGGCAGCAGUGGGGAAUCUUAGACAAUGGGCGCAAGCCUGAUCUAGCCAUGCCGCGUGAGCGAUGAAGGCCUUAGGGUUGUAAAGCUCUUUCAGUGGGGAAGAUAAUGACUGUACCCACAGAAGAAGCCCCGGCUAACUACGUG